GCUGGGCAUGGUGGCGCCUGCCUGUAAUCCCAGUGGCUCUGGAGGCUAAGGCAGGAGGAUCGCGAAUUUAAAGCCAGCCUCAGCAAAAAGCAAGGUGCUAUGAAGCUCAGUGAGACCCUGUCUCUA
This 126-nucleotide small RNA is filed under the name Marmota monax (woodchuck). The record is from RNAcentral. Lineage: Eukaryota; Metazoa; Chordata; Mammalia; Rodentia; Sciuridae.